This 1604-nucleotide ribosomal RNA is filed under the name Kondoa sp. (in: rust fungi & allies). RNAcentral's name for it is "SSU rRNA". It matches the Rfam family "Eukaryotic small subunit ribosomal RNA", at positions 40 to 1603 of the family's 1831-position model. Lineage: Eukaryota; Fungi; Basidiomycota; Agaricostilbomycetes; Agaricostilbales; Kondoaceae. The record is from RNAcentral.
CAGAUUAGCCAUGCAUGUCUAAGUAUAAGCAAAUCUAUACUGUGAAACUGCGAACGGCUCAUUAAAUCAGUUAUAGUUUAUUUGAUGGUACCUUACUACAUGGAUAACUGUGGUAAUUCUAGAGCUAAUACAUGCAUAAAAGGCCCUUCACGGGGUUGUAUUUAUUAGAUAAAAGACCAAUGGGCUUCGGCUCUACUGGUGAAUCAUGAUAACUGCUCGAAUCGCAUGGCCUUGCGCCGGCGAUGCUUCAUUCAAAUACCUGCCCUAUCAGCUUUCGAUGGUAGGAUAGAGGCCUACCAUGGCGAUAACGGGUAACGGGGAGUUAGGGCUCGACUCCGGAGAGAGGGCCUGAGAAACGGCCCUCAUAGCUAAGGCUAGCAGCAGGCGCGCAAAUUAUCCACUCCUAAUACAGGGAGAUAGUGACAAUAAAUAACAAUAGAGGGCUCUUUUGGGUCUUCUAAUUGGAAUGAGUACAAUUUAAAUACCUUAACGAGGAUCAAUUGGAGGGCAAGUCUGGUGCCAGCAGCCGCGGUAAUUCCAGCUCCAAUAGCGUAUAUUAAAAUUGUUGGCGUUAAAAAGCUCGUAGUCGAACUUCGGCCCUUGUCAGCCGGUCCGCUUAUAAUGAGUGUGUACUGGAUCUGGCAGAGGCUUUACCUCCUGGUGAAUUAGCAUGGCGUUUACUCGUCGUGUUAGGGAACCCGGACAUUUACUUUGAAAAAAUUAGAGUGUUCAAAGCAGGCAUGUUUGCCCGAAUAUAUUAGCAUGGAAUAAUAGAAUAGGACGUGCGAUCCUAUUGUGUUGGUCUUUAGGAUCGCCGUAAUGAUGAAUAGGGGCGGUUGGGGGCAUUUGUAUUCAAUUGCUAGAGGUGAAAUUCUUGGAUUUAUUGAAGACAAACUACUGCGAAAGCAUUUGCCAAGGACGCUUUCAUUGAUCAAGAACGAAGGUCGGGGGAUCGAAAACGAUUAGAUACCGUUGUAGUCUCGACAGUAAACUAUGUUGACUGAGGAUCAGUCGGGGUUUUAUCAAUGACCCGAUUGGCACUCAAAGAGAAAUCUUAAGUGAAAUUCGCGGGGGAGUACGGUCACAAGGCUGAAACUUAAAGGAAUUGACGGAAGGGCACCACCAGGAGUGGAGCCUGCGGCUUAAUUUGACUCAACACGGGGAAACUCACCAGGUCCAGACACAAUGAGGAUUGACAGAUUGAUAGCUCUUUCUUGAUCUUGUGGUUGGUGGUGCAUGGCCGUUCUUAGUUGGUGGAGUGAUUUGUCUGGUUAAUUCCGAUAACGAACGAGACCAUCCCCUGCUAAAUAGCCCGGCCGGCUUUGGCUGGUCGCUGGCUUCUUAGAGGGACUUUUAGCGUUUAGCUAAAGGAAGUUGGUGGCAAUAACAGGUUAACGUCUAAUCACAGGCCUGUAAAAGCGGUGUUGCCAACUUGGAAUAUUACAUUAUAAUCCGCUAGUCCAAGAGAUUAAUCAAUGCGGGAAAGCUUCCCAUCGUCGGGCAUUGAAAGGGUUUGAAAUUGAUUUAAACACUUGUCUCUGGGCGACACAACCUGGUACAGGGAACGCCAAACAGGUAAUGCUGAGGUCGAUCCUGUGGUGAGU